CCUGCCCACUGAAAUUUUUGAAUGGCCGCAGUAAUUUGACUGUGCAAAGGUAGCAUAAUCAUUAGUUUUUUAAUUAAAAGCUUGUAUGAAUGGUUGGACGAGGUAAAUUCUGUCUUUAUUUAAAUAAUAUUAGAAUUUAAUUUUUAAGUUAAAAAGCUUAAAUAAAUAUAAAAGACGAGAAGACCCUAUAGAUCUUUAUAUUAUUAUUUUAUAAUUUUAAUAAAGAAUUUUUAAUUUUUUAUAUUUUGUAAUAUUUUAUUGGGGUAAUAAAAAGAUUUAAUAAAUUCUUUUUUAUAUUUUACAUUAAUUUAUGAAUAUAUGAUCCAAAAUUUUUGAUUAUAAGAUUAAGUUACCUUAGGGAUAACAGCGUAAUUUUUUUAGAGAGUUCAUAUCGAUAAAAGAGUUUGCGACCUCGAUGUUGGAUUAAAAAUUGUUUUAGGCGCAGAAGUUUAAAAAUUUGGUCUGUUCGACCAUUAAAUUUUUACAUGAUCUGAGUUCAGACCGGUGUAAGCCAGGUCGGUUUCUAUCUUUAUAAUUUUAUAAUAUUUUAGUACGAAAGGACCAAAUAUUUAAUAUAUUAAUAUUUUUAUUUUUGAAUAUUAUU
This 604-nucleotide ribosomal RNA is filed under the name Papuadytes perfectus. Its description in RNAcentral is "partial 16S ribosomal RNA". It matches the Rfam family "Bacterial large subunit ribosomal RNA", at positions 1858 to 2760 of the family's 2925-position model. Lineage: Eukaryota; Metazoa; Arthropoda; Insecta; Coleoptera; Dytiscidae. The record is from RNAcentral.